This 161-nucleotide unclassified non-coding RNA is filed under the name uncultured fungus. RNAcentral describes it as "sequence contains ITS1". Lineage: Eukaryota; Fungi. The record is from RNAcentral.
UUAACUAUUGAAUAGUACUCUGACGACACACACACUUAGGGUUUGGGGUCUCUGGCGGGCAUAGCCCGCCAAAGCAACAGCGGUCUGAUACACAAGGGUGGCGUCUCUACCCGGAGGGCAGGAGCUCGGUAAUGAUCCUUCCGCAGGUUCACCUACGGAAA